This is an RNA transcript of Cannabis sativa, 2216 nucleotides long. It is a transcript of the gene named FHA domain-containing protein At4g14490, with no coding region annotated. The record is from RefSeq and is a predicted model, not a curated record. NCBI's taxonomy places the organism in Eukaryota, Viridiplantae, Streptophyta, Magnoliopsida, Rosales, Cannabaceae. The transcript has 3 exons.
UUUGGAUUAAUUAACUUAGAAAUGAAAUAAAAAACAACAAACUGUGUUAGUUAGCUCAAACAAACCCAUUCUUCUUCUUCAUGGCUCUCAAACUUGAAAUCAUCCAAGGUCCUCGAGCCGGAGAAACCCUAGACUUCCGGCCCGGAUGUACCGUCAGAAUCGGUCGUCUUGUCCGUGGUAACAAUCUCACAAUCAAAGACUCCACCAUCUCAACUAAGCACCUCUCUAUCCAAUCUCAAUCUGGCAAAUGGCUACUUCACCACCUCAGCACCUCCAAUCGCUCUUGCCUCAAUGACGAAAUUAUUGAAACCGACGUCCCCGUCGAGCUCAGCGACGGAGAUUGCAUCAGGAUUGGAGAUUCCACUUCCAUAUCCGUUAAGAUUGGAGUCGACGAUGGGUGCUUUUUGAGGCGAAGAACUAGGCGGGGAGGAGUUGAGGAGAAGAAGGAAGAGGGAUGUGGUUUGGGAGUGGAGAAAGCAGAGGCAAGGAGAGGAAGGAAACCUAAGGUUUUGAAGAGUGUGGUUGAAGAGGAGAAAGAACAGCUGCCGCAAGUGAGAACGAGGCGAACUCGGAGAUGGGAGAAAAUUCAAGAGAAUUCUGAAGUGGAAGGUGGACAAGUCAAGUCAAGACGAGUUAAUGAUGAUGAAGACAUUGACAAGUUGAAUUUGAGGGAACAUGAGUGUGAAAAGGUGGAGGCUACGGUGAUGGAGCUCUGUGAAGAGGAGGAUCAUCAUGGCAGAGAUGGUUGUGGCAUCAAUGGUGGGGUUUGUGAAGAGGGAAAAAAGGAUAAAGCUUUUGGGUCUAAUGAGAAGUUGGGUGAAUCCGGAAAGGAGCCAGAUUUGGAGAAUAUGACACUUGAAGAGUGGUUUGAUUAUUUGAAGAUUGCUCUGCCGAAACAGAUAAUUGAAGCAAGUGAGGAGAUGAUCAAUGGUAUGAGAUUGAAUACUAAAAGGGUUCACAAUUACAUGGUAGAGCAGAAGAAUGAAGCAUUAGAAGUAGCUACUGUGUAAGAUGUUCUUCGUUGGUUUCACUAGAUUAUCUUAGAGACCCAUUAUUGUUUUUAAGGCUACAUUCUGUUUAAUGUGAGUCAUAUUGAAGAUCGAAAUUGGAAAUUUAGAAAUUUAACAGUGUUACUGAGCUUUGUCUCCUCCACUGAAGCUAUCUGCAGUAUACGAAGCUUAAACAAAUGCUCUAAAGGAUCAACUUCUCCUCAACUGGUUUCUUUAUCAUCAGCUUCAUGUGGGUGGUGAAUGCCUUACAAUGUAGGCAUGGUGACAAGUUGACAACAUGAUCCAUAGCAAAUAUGGGGUUCAGGUUGGUUGGUUGCUGCUGCUGUUGCACUUUCUUGGUAGCUCUGUUUAAAAGCUUUAUUGCCUAUGAAAAUUGGUGCAUAUAACAUGGCAAAAGCAUGCUGUUGCAAAUAAAGAAUGUGAUGUGUACAGCGAUAAAUAAUUAGAUUAUAGGAUCUAUUAUUUCAUCACUUCACAGAAUGAAAAAAGGAAAAAGGAAAAAGAGAUCAAACUACAAAUAUAAUUCCUUUCUUAGAAAAAGAAAGCACAAUUACAAUAUUAUGUAAAGUUCCUUCAAGCAUGGCCACUACCUUCCUUAUGGGAUGACGAAUUGUUGGCUCUUCUUGUAUACACCAAAGACCAAUCUUCUACAAUCUGUCAAACUCUUGCUCGUUCACUUCUUCAACAAGCAUUAGACUUGCUGAAUUAUUAUUUUAUGAAGCACUCGUAAACCCAAUCGACUAAGAUGGCUUCUUUCUCAGGAACACUAACUUCAACUCUUGGACAACAUCAUAUGAUAACCAAUAGAAUAGUUCCAAAACUAUAAACAUCAGCUUUGGUCGUAAUAGGUUGGCCCUUAUGCCACUCUGGAGCAAUGAACCCCCUCGUUCCUCUAAUUUCGCUGUGUCCUUGUUUGAUCUGACAUCAGUAGCUUUGCCAGUCCGAAAUUUGCAAUUUUGGCAUUACAAUUCUCAUCGAUCAAUAUGUUGUUGGGAUUUAUGUCACAAUGAAUGAUCUUAUUCUCGCAAUCUUCAUGCAGACAUAAGAUGCCGCGAGCAAUGCCCAAUGUUAUUUUCAUUUUGUCAUUCCAGAUUAAAUUAGUCUCUGAUUUGAAGAGAAAGUUUGAUAAUGAUCCAUGGCUCAUGGUGACCAUAUACUAGAAGCUUGUUUGAAUUUUCAUGGCAAUAACCAAGCAAAUUGACCAGA